Molecule: RNase P RNA, 337 nt
Filed under: Candidatus Woesearchaeota archaeon
Lineage: Archaea; Nanobdellati; Candidatus Woesearchaeota
Description: RNase P RNA component
Rfam family: Archaeal RNase P
About the family: Ribonuclease P (RNase P) is a ubiquitous endoribonuclease, found in archaea, bacteria and eukarya as well as chloroplasts and mitochondria. Its best characterised activity is the generation of mature 5'-ends of tRNAs by cleaving the 5'-leader elements of precursor-tRNAs.
Source: RNAcentral
GGGUGUGUAGUCUGCCGUCGGUGAGCAAUCGCUGAGGAACGUCUACCCACCACCAAAAGGCCGCUCCAGCAGUGGAGGCCCAGCAAUGGGCGACAACGUCACAGAAACGACACGGCCUCAAUGCGCCACCAGAAUGAGGUUGCGAAACCCGACGCGAGUCGGAUGAGUUAACCAACCGACGAGCAUUGAGGAUACGAUGAAACGGACAGGCUCGGCCGGUGCAAGGCGAAAUGCCGCAUAGUGGAAUGCAGAUACAGUCCAUCCCGCCCGUUAAAACCGGGCAACACCGCCACGAAUCGGUGUCCGGGGACUGACAAAAGGUAGCGUACGCGCACCC